GACAGCAGUCGCCGCGGUAAUACGUAGGUGGCAAGCGUUGUCCGGAAUUAUUGGGCGUAAAGGGCUCGCAGGCGGUUUCUUAAGUCUGAUGUGAAAGCCCCCGGCUCAACCGGGGAGGGUCAUUGGAAACUGGGAAACUUGAGUGCAGAAGAGGAGAGUGGAAUUCCACGUGUAGCGGUGAAAUGCGUAGAGAUGUGGAGGAACACCAGUGGCGAAGGCGACUCUCCGGUCUGUAACUGACGCUGAGGAGCGAAAGCGUGGGGAGCGAACAGGAUUAGAUACCCCGGUAGUCCCUGUCUCUUAUAC
This 306-nucleotide ribosomal RNA is filed under the name uncultured bacterium. RNAcentral's name for it is "partial 16S ribosomal RNA". It matches the Rfam family "Bacterial small subunit ribosomal RNA", at positions 507 to 807 of the family's 1533-position model. The record is from RNAcentral.